Molecule: long non-coding RNA, 1630 nt
Filed under: Salmo salar (Atlantic salmon)
Lineage: Eukaryota; Metazoa; Chordata; Actinopteri; Salmoniformes; Salmonidae
Description: lncRNA (ENSSSAG00000084336.1, ENSSSAG00000087286.1)
Source: RNAcentral
GUGUGUGCAUGUGCAAAUAUGUGUUGCUGGCAGACAUGAUGCUGAAAUAUUAUAGCCAAGUCCAGGUUUGACCGCUGGCAUUUUGUUCUAACCAACUCAGUGGCCUUAGGGCAGACACUCUAACCACAAGGUUGGGAGUUCAAUCCCCUGCUGAAUCAUACCAAAGGGUGUAAAAAUGGAACCAGAUGCGUCUCUGUUUGGCACUCCGCAUUAAGGAGCUAGAUUGAAGAGACGCUCACUUACUCCUCAUCCAGGGAACUCCGUGCAUGACCAGAGAUCCAGCACAAGAGAUGGUACUAAUGAAGGCGAGGACAGGGACAGGCUUGUAUUCACUUGCGUGCCUUCUCAUGAUCAGUAGUGUCUGUUCUACCUGUGUUCCCUUUAUGUGUCUAAGGUGCAACUUAACCCACUCACCUGGAAUAUCUGCCACGGGAUUACUAGACAAGGCCAUGUGUGACACCCUGUGCUCAGACACUCACCAAUGCUUCAAUGCUACUGAUUUUAAAGUGCUACUGAACACCAGUUCUGGGUUCAAAGUGGUGGAGGGUGCUGACCUCAUCAUUGAGUGUGCCCAUAACCUGCCGGUGGAACCAAAAAUCCCGCUGGUGUUUGUCUGGCUGAUGGAUGGCGUCUCCCUGACGGGCGAGAACAGUAGCCAGCUCACCGUGAAGAAGGUCGGCAUAGCUACCUCUGGCAAGAAUAAAUACGCCUGCACCAUCCAGAGUCCCUGUGGCAACUUCACCUCAGAUCCAAAGGAGAUUGAAUUUGAAGACACGACGCUGUUGGUCAUAGUGAUCUGUGGUGUGUCUGCUGUGGUGCUGAUCCUGGCCAUGGGUAUAGGCAUGAAGAUCAUGCUGAAGAAGGAAUUUGCAAAGACCAAGAACAGGAGGCAGCAGAAUGCUCAGAACCUACAGAGAACUACCACAACAGAGUAGUGUUUCAUUUUCUGCAAAUUCCACCAAAUGUCCUUCAUGCGAAAAUGGCAAAAAUCUGACAUGAUUACACUGUGAAUGGAGAAAUAUGUAGCUAACAAUUUAUAGUUGUAUUUGCUGCAAUUUAAUCAACAUAACACUGACGUUGAGAUAAUUUUAUGAUGGAAGAGCCACAGAUGCAUAUGUUAAUCCUCUGGCAGUGACACACAGCUAGUUUGGAGAUUUGUCCCAAUAAAUAAUAUGCCAAAUUCAUGAUAUUUAAUAAUAAACAUUUACAUGUGGAUGAUGUUUCUAUUUAUAUAAUGAAUGGGGCCUAACAUAAGUGUCCAGAGGCUGCGUGUAGCCUACACAUGAUAGUCAGCAGUUACAUUUAUAGAAGCCAGGUAAGUAGGCUAAGUGAUGUUUUCUAUUGGGUACUUUAUGUAGAGUAGCCUAAAAAUAGUAAAAUAAUAAAUAAAAUAGCUGCUAGCGUUGUGACGACGUCAAUAAUGAAUGACGCAAGAGUUGUCCAGUUCCUGCAGCUAUCCCCACUUCACAUUAGUGCAGCAUAGAACUCAUAUAUUACUGAGCCCGAGUAGCCGUCAUUUUUUUUCUCUGCCAUCUGGAAGGUGCUUGGUUGAGAAAUCUAUGGCUACUGACCAGAUCAACAUGCCUACAUUCUCAGCAAUCUACACACAAUACCCCAUAAUGACAAAGCG